This 73-nucleotide transfer RNA is filed under the name Stegodyphus mimosarum. It matches the Rfam family "tRNA". From Rfam's summary of the family: Transfer RNA (tRNA) molecules are approximately 80 nucleotides in length. Their secondary structure includes four short double-helical elements and three loops (D, anti-codon, and T loops). Further hydrogen bonds mediate the characteristic L-shaped molecular structure. tRNAs have two regions of fundamental functional importance: the anti-codon, which is responsible for specific mRNA codon recognition, and the 3' end, to which the tRNAs corresponding amino acid is attached (by aminoacyl-tRNA synthetases). tRNAs cope with the degeneracy of the genetic code in two manners: having more than one tRNA (with a specific anti-codon) for a particular amino acid; and 'wobble' base-pairing, i.e. permitting non-standard base-pairing at the 3rd anti-codon position. Lineage: Eukaryota; Metazoa; Arthropoda; Arachnida; Araneae; Eresidae. The record is from Rfam by way of RNAcentral.
GCUUUCAUAGUGCAAUUGGAAACAUACUCGAUUCCUAUUCGAGAUGUCCAGGGUUCGAGUCCCGGCAAGGGCA